CCGCCCCGUUCCCGGCUGGCUGGGGAAGGGGCGUCCGGAGCCGCAGUGGCCCAGGAACAACUACAGCCCGUCGGGGACGAGAGAGAUGGGGGCGGGCGUUAGAAACGCGUUCUCCGCUGCGUGAGGCUGUGGCCUAGACCUCGGCGCGUUUCAUCUCCGGCGUACUCCUCGGGGAGAGCCGGGAGGUCCUCCUCACUCUGUGACCUACGCUGUGGCAGUUGGGAAAGGACCUGAGAAAGUGACAAAAGGCGAUGCUCCGGUCACAGCAGGGGCCCAGAAGGGCGCCCACAAGGGAUCUGAGCACGCCUGGCCCCUGGCUUCCCGAGGAGGGUUGCGCCUUAAGUGGGGUGCGAGGACCGGGCGGGCUCCGGGGCAACAAGGCCCCGCAGUCCCAGGGGUGCUCGCGGUGACCUGGUGGGGCUACUGGUGGGUCGGCCCCGCAGCCGUGAGCCAAGGAAACAGGGCCGGUGGCACUGACGCUCCUGUGAGAACCUAACUGCCACCUGAGGCGUCCAUGCGGGCCUGGCCAGGAGCGCCCUCGAGGAGCCCAGGCAGAUCCUCUCAUUGAAACGCAGGUCGAGCUGCUCUUACCUGCUCAGGAAGGACUUCACUAACCCUAGCCAGAAAACCUAGACCCAGAAUGACAGCAGAAUUCGGGCGUCAGGACCCAGUGGUCAGUUCUGACCCAAGGUUACACAGCUGCCCCUGACUGAUGGAGAGAGGAACAGAAAGAGCUGCUGCUGGCCCACAAAUCAGGAAGUCAACUCAUUCUGAGCCCCAAACCUAGGACUUCUGGAUGAGGAAAUUGAAGCUUGUGCCAAACGAGGAAAGGAAUUCGGGUCAGGUCACACAGCUAGUAGAUCUCAGGGCUGGGCUUUGAAUGCACCCUGGCCUACACAGGAAGUUCAAGGCCAACGUGAGCUACUUACAGACCUUCAAAAAAACUAGAAAAUGUAAAAAUAAAG
This is a long non-coding RNA of Heterocephalus glaber (naked mole-rat), 965 nucleotides long. Lineage: Eukaryota; Metazoa; Chordata; Mammalia; Rodentia; Bathyergidae. The record is from Ensembl.